Molecule: long non-coding RNA, 4485 nt
Filed under: Coffea arabica (coffee)
Lineage: Eukaryota; Viridiplantae; Streptophyta; Magnoliopsida; Gentianales; Rubiaceae
Description: long non-coding RNA (CARA_LNC002125)
Source: RNAcentral
AGUGAAGAGCAUGGCUCAGGGUGCCAUUGAUGGUGUGAAGAACAACUUGGUUGGUGACAACAACACUAAGAAGUGAAAGAAACGUCAGUCUUCGUGCGAAUCAUGACUUAGUUGAUUUGUUUGUUGGUCAUUUCCUAUAAUUAGGAGUUUCCUAUACUCCAAUGGUAUAAGGAAAUCACAAGUAGGGAUUUUUUUAAGGAUUUCUCAGAUGAUGUAAUAAGAGCUUUUAGAAAUUUGUUGAUAAGUGGAGUUUAUACCAUUUUGAUGAUUUUUAGGUUAGCUUAGAAUUUGCUUCAGUUUCUAGCUUAUUUAGAGUUGGGAGCAUGUUAAUUUUGCAUUGAUCUGAAGAGUCUCUUGAUACAGAGAAUCUCUUUCAAGUGUAAUAAGGUAGUAUUGACUAUGAUAAAAGAUACUGAAUUCAUGAAGAAAAUGAGACAACUUGGUCUUUUUUCUGGCUUCUUGUUAAGAUUCCGAAACCCGCUUUCCACAAGAAGACUAGUUACAGAACCGAAGUCCAACGUUUUAAAUUACAGCUAGGUUUGCAAAAUGGAGAUUUGUAGUAGUUAAUAUUGACCACUAAUAUUAUCUCUUUACCCUUUAUUGUCAUUGCUGUAUAAUAUGCUUUCUACCUAACUUGCACGCACCUUAGAAUAAUUAUCUUUUUGAUUCACAGAAUUUGUGUCAAGGACUCAGGACUAGAGCUGUCAAAACCGAACUCGGCCCAGAUUUGGUAAAUUUUUUCGGGUUUGGGUUGAGAAAUAAUUCCGAUACCUGAAUCUGGACCAAUAUCCGUUUACUCUAAAAAAAGCGAGUCGAAUACGAAAUAUAGGAUUCUGACCGAUAUCGAUUCAACCAAAUAAUACAUUAAUAUUAUAAAUAUAAAUAUUCUAAUAUAUUCUUUUACUAAAUUAACAAAAGUAUUCUUUUACCAAAUUAACCAAAUUACUUGUAUCUCAGAUGAAGCAUCUAAGAAAUUAGGAUUUGCAAGACGCAAACUUGUUUGACCAGAAAUGUAUUCAUCACAAGUUGCAUAUAAGUGUUUUUUGCUAAAUACUUUGAGAUCAUGUUAGGCCUUUUUUGCUAACAUGGAUAAAAGAAAAUGAAUGAUACAUGUUGGGCCAUUUUCUUUCUAGAUAGACCCGGACCCGACUUGAGACUCGUCAAAUCUGGUUCUGAAAUCUUAAGUACAAACCCAUCGAUAUACGGGUCGGGUUCGGGUCUAGUACAUUAAAAUGAAUCGUGGUCCGAAAUUUUCAAUUUCGAUCCAAACCGACGACCUGUUGUUGAUAGGGCCUACUCGGACUGAAGAUUUCUGAAAAUAAUUCCCAAAUUCAUUCUCGUUGAACUACCGGUGUACUUGCUAGGAUAGAAAUCAAUACUCCUUGAUCAUGUGUUUGGUUGGGAACUUUUUCUUUUUUUAAAAUACAGUAUUUUAUAAUUGACCUAUACUUGGGAUUGGAAUGGAAUGGACCUAACUAAAUCAUUGAAAUUCAAAAACACUAAACUAUCUUCGAAAAUGUUUUAGAAGUCCUGGAUGGAAAAUGUAGGCAAGGCGUUUUGAAUACCAUACCUAUACCAAGCAGGGAUACUUCAACGUUAGGCUCAAAAUUUCUCCAUUGAGCUUAUUUGCAAACUAAAUAUAAUAAAUAUUGCAUUAAAAAAAAGCAUAAGAAAUAUUGUACCACGGGCCAUAAGAUAGGGAUGGGCAAAAAUACUUGUUAACUCGAAAACUUACCAUAUCCGAUUCAAUUCGAUCGAAAAUUAGAAUAUCCGAUUCGUAUUAUUUCAUCGCAUUAAAAAGAGGGUCAAGUACCUGAGUAGAUUCGGGCAGGUUAGGGUCACAUACUUGAAAAUCCACGAAUACUUGACUCACCCGCACACAUACACACACAUAUAUAUAUUUUUAAUUUUAUACACAUGGUUAAAAUAAUAUUUUUAGAACUAAAUAAGCAAUUUAUUGAGCAAUUGUAUUACAAAUAUGGAAGAUUAUAGUUUGUUUACAAGAUUCAUUUAUAGAGUUCAUGAUCUUAUUUUUUUUUUAAGAAAAGUUUAGUUAAUGUGAAAUAUAUAUCUAAAAAAGGGGCUACUUAUUUCAAAUUUUUAUUGAUUUUGAAUUCUAUUAAUUUUUUUUCCUUUUUCUUCUAUUCUCUUCGCAUGUUUGUUUCUUGGUGGGAUGAUUUUUUUGAGAAAAAUCUUAAUUAAAUUUAAAUUUUAAAUGAAAAUGUAAAAUAUAAAAUUAAAUUAGCAUAGAUAAUUUUUUUAAAAAAAAUUAAAUGAAUAAGUGGGAUGAAACGGGUAUCCGUUGAGACCCGAUCCUAUCUAAUUGGAUACUUGCUGAUAUGUGGGGCAGAUAAAACUCAGAAAAUGAUUGAUUUACUACAUAUGGGAGGCGCCAGUUAAAUGGUGGCACGAGAUAGGUAUUCGACCCAUGCUCACCCUACGACAACCCCAUAAGGUCAUAUAUAUCUCUCUUCAUUGCAUAUACUCAACACUUAUAGACUCCAAGCCAGAUUAAAUACUUUAAAUACUUUAUUAGCAAAAAAAAAAACACUAGAUUAAAAUUAAAUAAUUGUUUCACAAAAAUUCUCCUGGAAUUCUUGCUAGGAUCUUGCCCAUUGCUGAUCUUUAUAAUCUUAUGCCAAUUUUCUAAAAAACUCUCAUAGAAAAUUUCAUAAUUCAUAUCUUUUGUUUUUAACAUCUUUCAACUAGGGAGAAGUGAAAUUUAAAAAACAUUUCUGAUUCAUGGAAUCAAAAUUUUAACCACUAGACUAACGUAUUCUUGACAUCAUAAUUUAUCUUCGAUCCAAUAAUUGUCACUUUAAAGUUUUUUCAACAAAAAACACACCUGUAGUUAUGUUUCUUAGUUGUAUUUAAACACACAACAAAAAAAAAACUUAACUUUCCUCUUAUGAAAUGUUAAAAUUAAUGAAAGACACUGAACCGAAAUUCUCAAGUCCAAAAAUAAAAAAAAAUAAAAAAAUUAGAAACCGAAUAAGAAAUCUAGAAUGAUCGCUAAUGCAAUUGACGUGAUGGCUGUGUCCCGCGGCUUCUCCUACCUUCCCUAUCACCAUCCAAUAAUACGCCACUAAACUUCACCUUCAAUUCUAUUGCCUUCUAAUGGCAAAAUUAUUGAAAAGUGAAAACCCCUUCAUUGAGGAAAAAAGAAGGCGGAAAAAGAAAAUUCUUCAAGUUCCACAGCCACAUGAAACAAGCCCAUUGUCCAGGUCAAAUGCAGCAUAAUAUGCAACACCUAAACAACUUGCUAUUCCUACGUGCCAUUACCUCAUAGCUCAAAUGGCAAUCAUAUUCUACUAUAAAUUCAAGAGCUUAAUUCAACCAAAAAUACAGAACUUUCAGUUUUAGUUACAAAGAUAUCAAACGAUUUAGACACUUCAUUUCAUCUUUAAGAAAAUGUCAAGCACUCAGUUUAAUGCAGGCGAAACCCAUGGCAAAACUCAGGUGAUUGAACCUCUUCCAUUUAAGUGUUAGCAAUUAUCAUUCUUUUCUCGUUGUUAUAGCAAAUUUCAUGGCCUAGUCCUGUUUGUAAUGAUUGGCUAUCCAUAGACAUUGUAGUAUUAUUCUACUUUUUGUUCAUGGCAUAAAACUGCUAUACUAUUCUUCCACUAUUGGAAAAAGAAUUUGUCUUGCUGAUGAUAUAAGAUGCUAGAUGAGUUUUCUAUCCUCUCAAUUACAUGUAUGAGAUGGCUAUUGCAUUAAUAUAAGAUCAUCAUGUAUAGCUGAUAUAUGUUUCUAUUUUCAAGAUAUCUUAUCAAUCAUCAAGUAUAUGAAAACGAGAAUCCUUGAUUUGGGACGAAUUCUUGAAGACUCAUUAGUAGGACUCUUCAUCCCAAGAUUAUUACUAACUAGUUUUCAUACGCAGGCCAAGACAGAGCAGUGGGUUGAUUCAUGCAAGGAUGCAGCAAAUGCAGCCCAUGACCGAUCUGCCCAGGCUGCAGAUCAGAGUGCAGGAUUCCUUCAGCAGGUUUUCAACCUCUACAGUUUUGUCCAAGAAGAAUUUGGGGUUAAAAUUCCUUUUCUUUAUCUUCUUCUUAUUAUUAUUACUUCAUUUUUAUUUCAGACUGGUGAGCAAGUAAAGAGCAUGGCUCAGGGUGCUAUUGAUGGUGUGAAGAACACACUUGGAGUUGGUGACAACAACACUAAGAAGUGAAAGAAACAGAUGUCAUUCAUGAGAAUCAUGACUUAGUUGAUUUAUUUGUUAGUCAUUUCCUAUAAUUAGGAGUUUCCUAUACUCAAAUGGUAUAAGGAAAUUAUAAGUAGGGAUUUCUUUUUAAGGAUUUCUCAGAUGAUGUAAUAAGAGCUUUUAGAAAUUUGUUGCUAAAGUGGAGUUUAUACCAUUUUGAUGAUUUUUAGGUUAGCUUAGGAUUUGCUUCAGUUUCUAGCUUAUUUAGAGUUGGGAGCAUGUUAAUUUUGCGUUGAUCUGAAGAGUCUCUUGAUACAGAGAACUCUCUUUCAAGUGUAAUAAGG